This 788-nucleotide ribosomal RNA is filed under the name Acidimicrobiales bacterium. RNAcentral's name for it is "partial 23S ribosomal RNA". It matches the Rfam family "Bacterial large subunit ribosomal RNA", at positions 1 to 851 of the family's 2925-position model. The record is from RNAcentral. Lineage: Bacteria; Bacillati; Actinomycetota; Acidimicrobiia; Acidimicrobiales.
AAUCAAGCGUUUAAGAGCAUUUGAUGGAUGCCUUGGCACACAAAGGCGAUGAAGGACGUAGUACGUUGCGAUAAGCUUCGGGGAGUGACGAACACACUUUGAUCCGAAGAUUUCCGAAUGGGGAAACCCAACUCUUUUGAGUUAUUGCUAACUGAAUACAUAGGUUAGUAAAGCGAACCCAGCGAACUGAAACAUCUAAGUAGCUGGAGGAAAGGAUAUCAACCGAUACUCCGUAAGUAGUGGCGAGCGAAAGCGGACUAGGCCAGUGGUCUUAAUUGUACAACCAAAAUUAUCUGGAAAGGUAAACCAUAGAGAGUGAUAGUCUCGUAUGGGUAAUGACAAUUAAGAUCCUCGAGUAGGACGGGACACGUGAAAUCUUGUCUGAAUAUGGGGGGACCACCCUCCAAGCCUAAGUACUCUUGUGUGACCGAUAGUGAACUAGUACCGUGAGGGAAAGGUGAAAAGAACCCCGACGAGGGGAGUGAAAUAGAUCCUGAAAUUGAAUGCUUACAAGCUGUCGAAGCCCGCAAGGGUGACGGCGUACCUUUUGUAUAAUGGGUCAGCGAGUUAGUUUAUUGUGCAAGCUUAAGCCGUUAGGUGUAGGCGUAGCGAAAGCGAGUCUGAAUAGGGCACUAGUACUUUGGAUUAAACCCGAAACCGAGUGAUCUAGCCAUGAGCAGGUUGAAGAUAAGGUAACACUUAUUGGAGGACCGAACCAGUUGACGUUGAAAAGUCUUUGGAUGACUUGUGGUUAGGGGUGAAAGGCCAAUCAAACUCGGAUAUAGCUG